GUUAGGGUUAGGCAUUAGGGUUAGCAGUGUGGUUAAGGUUAGGGUUAGGCAUUAGUGUUAGCAGUGUGGUUAAGGUUAGGCAUUAGGGUUAGCAGUGUGGUUAGGGUUAGGGCUAGGCAUUAGGGUUAGCAGUGUGGUUAGGGUUAGGCAUUAGGGUUAGCAGUGUGGUUAAGGUUAGGGUUAGGCAUUAGGGUUAGCAGUGUGGUUAAGGUUAGGCAUUAGGGUUAGCAGUGUGGUUAAGGUUAGGGUUAGGCAUUAGGGUUAGCAGUGUGGUUAAGGUUAGGCAUUAGGGUUAGCAGUGUGGUUAAGGUUAGGCAUUAGGGGUAGCAGUGUAGUUAAGGUUAGGGUUAGCAGUGUGGUUAAGGUUAGGCAUUAGGGGUAGCAGUGUGGUUAAGGUUAGGGUUAGCAGUGUGGUUAAGUUAGGGUUAGGCAUUAGGGUUAGCAGUGUGGUUAAGGUUAGGCAUUAGGGUUAGCAGUGUGGUUAAGGUUAGGGUUAGCAUUGUGGUUAAGGUUAGGGUUAGGCAUUAGGGGUAGCAGUGUGGUUAAGGUUAGCAGUGUGGUUAAGGUUAGGCAUUAGGGGUAGCAGUGUGGUUAAGGUUAGGGUUAGGCAUUAGGGUUAGCAGUGUGGUUAAGGUUAGGCAUUAGGGGUAGCAGUGUGGUUAAGGUUAGGGUUAGCAGUGUGGUUAAGUUAGGGUUUGGUUUAAAAUCCGAUGUUAUGACUUUGUGGCUGUGCCAACUUGUUAUCACUCUGUAGAGCUUCGUCCAGGACUAGAUUAAUGCCGAAACGCUGACCUGCCAUAGAUGAUGUGUUAUCGGUUGGUUAUUUGAUUAUACUAAGUGGG
Oncorhynchus tshawytscha (Chinook salmon) is the source of this 842-nucleotide long non-coding RNA. NCBI's taxonomy places the organism in Eukaryota, Metazoa, Chordata, Actinopteri, Salmoniformes, Salmonidae. The record is from Ensembl.